RNAcentral lists this unclassified non-coding RNA (298 nucleotides) under Hevea brasiliensis (rubber tree). The record is from RNAcentral. Lineage: Eukaryota; Viridiplantae; Streptophyta; Magnoliopsida; Malpighiales; Euphorbiaceae.
GAUAAUUCAGAUGCCAGCACCAGAACUCAAUCAGAUAAUUCUUCUGACUAUUCAGAUGAAGAAAGCAAUGCAGAUUUUAACUUAUCCCAAAAUGGAUCUCACAGCUGGAAAAGAAAGGAGGGAGGUGGAAAAGCAUUCUCAAAACCAUUCUCUUCUGGCAUGACCUUGGAUACAAUUCUUAGAAGUUCAAGCAGAUACAAGAAGGCCAAGCUAACAGCUUCUCAAUCACAACUUGAGGACACAGAAAGCCAGCCUGUUGAUUUCACCCCUGAGAAUGAAGCAAACCCUUGAAUCACCC